Molecule: ribosomal RNA, 515 nt
Filed under: uncultured bacterium
Lineage: Bacteria
Description: partial 16S ribosomal RNA
Rfam family: Bacterial small subunit ribosomal RNA
Source: RNAcentral
GAUGAACGCUGGCGGCGUGCCUAAUACAUGCAAGUCGAGCGAAUGGAUUGAGAGCUUGCUCUUAUGAAGUUAGCGGCGGACGGGUGAGUAACACGUGGGUAACCUGCCCAUAAGACUGGGAUAACUCCGGGAAACCGGGGCUAAUACCGGAUAACAUUUUGAACCGCAUGGUUCGAAAUUGAAAGGCGGCUUUGGCUGUCACUUAUGGAUGGACCCGCGUCGCAUUAGCUAGUUGGUGAGGUAACGGCUCACCAAGGCAACGAUGCGUAGCCGACCUGAGAGGGUGAUCGGCCACACUGGGACUGAGACACGGCCCAGACUCCUACGGGAGGCAGCAGUAGGGAAUCUUCCGCAAUGGACGAAAGUCUGACGGAGCAACGCCGCGUGAGUGAUGAAGGCUUUCGGGUCGUAAGACUCUGUUGUUAGGGAAGAACAAGUGCUAGUUGAAUAAGCUGGCACCUUGACGGUACCUAACCAGAAAGCCACGGCUAACUACGUGCCAGCCGCCGCAGUAA